This 434-nucleotide ribosomal RNA is filed under the name uncultured bacterium. RNAcentral's name for it is "partial 16S ribosomal RNA". It matches the Rfam family "Bacterial small subunit ribosomal RNA", at positions 38 to 507 of the family's 1533-position model. The record is from RNAcentral.
GGGGGGGGGGGGGGGGGGGCCGAGCGCGUGCAGGGCGGGCGGGGUCUUCGGGGCUGGUGGCGGGCGGGUGCGUCACGCGUGGGCAUCUGCCCUCAGGUUCGGACUAACCCUUGGGACCGAUGGCUAGUACCGGGUGAUGGCGUUACGUCCAAAGAUUUAUCGCCUGAGGAUGAGCCCGCGUAGGCUUAGCUAGUUGGUGUGGUAAAGGCGCACCAAGGCGACGAGCGUUAGCUGGGCUGAGAGGAUGAUCAGCCACACUGGGACUGAGACACGGCCCAGACUCCUACGGGAGGCAGCAGUGGGGAAUAUUGGACAAUGGGCGAAAGCCUGAUCCAGCAAUGCCGCGUGAGUGAUGAAGGCCUUAGGGUUGUAAAGCUCUUUUACCCGGGAUGAUAAUGACAGUACCGGGAGAAUAAGCUCCGGCUAACUCCGUG